This 19689-nucleotide long non-coding RNA is filed under the name Medicago truncatula (barrel medic). RNAcentral describes it as "long non-coding RNA (MTRU_LNC005799)". The record is from RNAcentral. Lineage: Eukaryota; Viridiplantae; Streptophyta; Magnoliopsida; Fabales; Fabaceae.
UUAGCUUAAUAGGCGCAAUUGGAGUGAUCAUUGGCUUGUAUAUUGUACUUUGGGGUAAAGCUGAAGAAGUAGUUGAUGUUAAAGAGAAGAUAGUUCCAAAAUCUAUGGUUAAUGAGACAGAGGAAGUGAAAAUUGAUUUGGAAGAACCUCUUUUAACCAAUUUUUUGAAAACCAGAUCGGAGAUUGAAUCAUUGAAUUCUUCGAGUUAUGGUUCAAUUGGUUCAACUACUUGAAGCAUAGUCGAACCAUAUAAUUAAUAAAUAAAGAUAGUUUGAAUAAUUGUACUUAAAAAAUGAUAUUUUUAUGAGUACAAUAUUAUAUGGGAAUAUACUUUGUUCAAAAAGAUUAUAUGAUAAUAUACGGUCAAUAUAGCAAUCAAACCAUGGCAAAAAGGGGUCAUAAUUAUUUACCAUAAAUAUUUAUAGAUUAUCUACAUAAAUUAAUAAGCAUCUCUAAAAAAAAAAAAAUAACAAGCAAUAAAAUGAUGACAUAAUUAUCGUUAAUUAACAAAUUAUAGAUUAUAAAAAUAUAACAUUGCAUAUCCAAAAAAUUAAGACUUUUUUUAAAGUCAAACUAGCUUAUUGAAAUUGGUCACGAGGAGAAUCAAAAUGAGAACUUGAGAAUAUCAAACUCUAAGUUCCCAAGCCAACGUUAUUAGACCAUCUUAAGUGGAUUAAAAAUUACAGAGAUUUCAAUACCUCAGAAUUAUAUUAUUGGCAAUGAAUCUUCAUAUUUUGAAAACGCUCUAUGAUUUUUGUAAAGAAUGUUCCUGAUUUCUUUGUUGAUGUUUUUUCUACUUCAUAAACUUAUUGAGACUCAAAUGUUAAUCUUCUUUCACAAUAUUUUUCCAUUUCUAGUAUAGUAUAGAACACUAAUUAAUGACUUUAAUUCUAAUACUUGUAGAAGAUUUUGUGGGAGUGGAUGGAAGUUAUUUUUUCACUUUUGAUAUUUGGUUAAAAAUUGAUGUUGAAGUAUAUGCAAAAUCGUGGCACAAUUUGGAAGAUUAUAGCGCGGAGGAAAAUAUUGUGGCGUGAUUUGACGACUAGAUUCAAUACUGGGUAGAAGCAUCAGCUGAUAGACAAGGCAAAAAGUGCUAUAGUUUUAUGUCUUGAAGAUAAGGUUUUAAGGGAUGUCAUUAGGGAAGCUAUCGUAUAAUCGAUGUCGGCUAAAUUGGAGUCAUUGUACAUAACGAAAUCUUUGGCUCAUAGAUAACUUUUCAAACAACAACUCUACUCAUUUAAAAUGGUGGAGUCCAAAUCUAUCACGGAGCAAUUGGUGGAAUUUAACAAGAUUCUUGAUGACUUGGUGAACAUUUAAGUAAACGUGGAAGAUGAAGACAAGGUUAGAUUGUUACGUACUAUGUUCUUCACCGAAGUCUUUUGAGCAUUUUAAAGAUACCAUCCUUUACGGAAAGGAAAUCACCACUACUUUGGAGGAGGUCCAAGUGACUUCGAGAGCCAAGAAGUUAACCAAGUUGAAAAUUAUUUGAAGGUUGAGGAUAGUUGUGAAGGUUUGAAUUUUACAAGGGAAACAAGUGAGCGUAGAGGAAAAGUCGAGGUCUAAGUCCAAAAGGUGUGAUAAAUCGAAUUAUCGACGUUUCCGUUGUCAUAAGCUAAGUCACUUAAAGAAGGAUUGUCUUGAAAGGGGUGAAAUGUAGUUCUUUGUAACAACCAAAAAAUUUGAGACAUUAACUUAUACGAUUGUUAACGAAAAAUGGUGCAUAUUUUUUUUUUAUUUUUUUUUUAUCAUACUAAUAACUUAAAACUCCCUCACUUCAAAGUAAAAAUAAAUAAUAAAUAAAUAAGUUUCUCUUUGAACUUUUUUAAAUAAUAAAUCAGCAUUGUUUUACAUCAAAAUAUAUAAUUCUUAAGAGUAAGACCCUUGACCUUUAACUACCCAAAGACACACCCUAACUGGUCAUAACUUUGGACGCUUGCGAGAACUCUCGCUAAGGCGGACCCAAGGUCCACAUCACUCUAAGCCUCCAACUGUAAGUCAUUAUCAUUAUCUGAUUUUCAAAUACGGAAAAAGGGUUAACUCCCAAACAACAACAAAUAUACAAGUUAUACAUAUAUUUAACAGGUAUUUCAAGACAAGCAAAUAGUACAAUAAUAAUAUAAACUACACAAAAUGUCAAGACCCAAGACACCAGUGGACUCGACAAAUGAACGACACCUUAAAGCUGACCUAUAGGCGACACAAAUUAAUCGGAUAUCACCUCCCUUAUAGGGCAACAAAAGUUCUUCGUAGAUAUUUGUAAGCUUCAACCAAUUAUGAACACUCCACCGUAGCUCCAACCAAUUAUGGACACCACAUUCCCCACGGGUCCCAACCAAUUAUGGGCACCAAAAGAAAUCAACGAGUCCCAACCAAUUAUGAGCACUCAAAAGGAAACAAUAAGCCCCAACCAAUUAUGGGCACUCAAGACUUCGGGUCCCAACCAAUUAUGGGCACCACACGACAAUGAAUGUAUGCAUGUGACACCUGAUUAUUAACUCCACAAAAAACACCGCUCUUAAUGAGUAACCGACUAAAUUAAUCAUUCUUAACCACCUGCUAGCUAGAGACACAGAUUAUGAUGACAGUAGUCAUUACGUUAUUUUUAUAAGUCUUUUUAUGGCAUUUAGAGAGUCAGUUACUUGUAAUUCAUGGUGAGAUCAGAUCAAAAACGGAACAAGAGCUCAAAAGAAGAAAUUGGUGAAAAGAUUGAAAUUUGCCUAAGAAUCGUGCCACGUUGAGCAAGGAUCAUGGCAUGUUGCAAGGACGCGGAAUUCACUAAUACGUUCUGGAAAUUUCGUGGCACGAUGAACCAUGAAACGUACCACGAUGAUUAAAUAAAGUUACUGCCACAUAUGAAUUAAUUGAUGAGAACAAGUGUUUUGCUUUUGGGUGGUGUGAAUAAUAGAAAGAUAAAAAAAAAACAAUUGGGCUUUGUGUGUGUACGUUGGCAAACAAGUGGAAGGAAAUUAGGUCACUUGAUUAUAUAUAAUAAGAAGUAACACACAAAUGGAUCACGGCUGGCGGUUUGGAACAGCAGGCGGCUAUAUUCCUUUGGUUUGGAAAAGGCACGCGUCACGAGACAAGAAGGAGGCACAUGGAUAUGAAAAGAAACGUCAACAAUAGAAAUUGAGAAAGAAUUGAGGAGCAAAAGUCAUCAACGACAGAACUCUAUCGAUUUAUUUUCUUUAUUAUGUUGUUUAUUAAUUUGAUCAUGUCUAGCUAAACUCUUAGUUUGAUUGAGCUAUGAUGAAUCUUUGUAAUAUAUGAAUUAGUAGUUGAUACUCUAAUGUUAUUCAGUCUUUAUUCAGAAUUACUUGUGUUCAUUGCUUUCUUAUAAUUGCUUGUAACUUCUUGAAAUUACAUGAAUUGAUAUUAGGAAUUGAUUGACUACUAACUUUUUAAUCCUGAAAUAACUUAGGAAAGAGUUUUGAGUAGGGCUGGAGCUGCGGCUCGUUUAAAGUUCACGAACAGUUUGGUUCGGUUCAUUAGGUUCAGUUCGGUUGCUCAACUCGUCCGAACAAAAGUUAUAAAAAAAAGUUAAUUUAUAGAUCUUUGAUAUUUUAUAUUUAUAUUAAAAUUAAAUAUUGAAUUAAAAUAAAAUUCCCACAAGCAUGCAUAUAAUAAACAUAAAUUAUAUAAAGUUAAAGGUUGCAUAAAUACGAAGAAAAAUAUUGCAUAAAUUCAAUUAGUUAUGAACAAAAUUCAUAAUAUUCUUUUACUUUUAAACUCCAACUGCUCUCUUCCCUUCAAGACAAAAUUGUAUUCAGCCACAUUUGAAUUAAUUUUUUUUAAAAACUAACUCAAAUUGAUUUAUAUAUAUAAUCGAUAAUCGAGCCAUCUCAUGAACCUAACGAGUCGAACUAUAUGUAGCUCAAGUUCAACUCAUUUAAUUAACGAACUUAAUUUUCAACUCAAGUCCAGCUCGUUAGGUUCAUGAACCAAGUUCAACGGAUUAGAUAUCGAGUCGAAUGUCGAACUAUAAUCGAGUUGGUUCGGUUCAUUGCCAGCCCUAGUUUUGAGUCAAGAGAUUGAUCAAAACUACUUAGUUAAUUUGUCGUAAAGAAUAAAUAAUAAUUAGUAAUAAGGGAGGUAAACUACUCAUAUAGAACAAUAUGAGAUUCAUCGGCUUAAUCAUUCAUCUCCAAUCAUCUUUCAAACCAUUUUAUUUUCUUUUAUUUACUUUUUAUUGCAACCAAAUCCAACUGCCUGGGGCAACCCAUAAAAUUUACUAAAUCCUUUAUUUUAACGAACUUGCUAAGUAGAAAUUAACAACGGUCCUCGUGGAUACGAACUUUAUUAGUACUUCCAUAGUUUUUGGUACACUUGUCAAAUAUCUAUCAGAUUACACCGACAAUAGCUCCGACUUACAAAAUAUGCAAGACCACAAUUCAUACAUGAAAACAACAAGUUAUAUUCACAACCAAGCAAUACAAAAGCAAGUUCACAUAGUAUGAAAGCAGGGUACACUAUAUAAACAUGUUAAAACAUCAUCAUUUUAACAACAAGUAACUACAUAUAUAAAAUAAAAAAAUGGAGCGCCCUUUCCCGUACCUUAACAACAGUAGCUUUUCUGAAAGAAGGUGGAGUUGUCCGGCUCGAAAAAAAAGGCUUGUGAGGUUAAGGUAUGGGUACCGUUCGUCGAAAUAUGUUUGAUCACUGUGAGUUCCUUUUAAGGCAUGUGACAUAUGAUCCUGAACCUAUGCAAAAUGCAAUUCCCAUUAACAUGUUUGAUAAUCUAAGUUAUUGCACUAAAAUUGUAUAUGAGAUGUGUAAAUUUCGAAUGGUGCAUUAAUUACUCUUAAAUGUUUUAAGAUGUUUGAUUUAUACAUUUUAGAUGGUUUUAUUGUAAUUGAUCAUGUAUCGUUAGCUAGUGCAGCAUCUCAUAAUAAAUUUGAAUUGUGGCAUUUAAGGUGACAACAUGUUAGUGAAAGAGGUUUAGUAGAACUAGCCAAACAAGGUUUUUUAGGAAGAGAAAAUUUGGAUAAGCUAGAAUUUCGCAAUCAUUGCAUACUAGACAAACAACAUAGAGUGAAGUUUGAAAGUGGUAUACAUUCGGAUUUUUGGAUUCUUCUUUAGAUACUUACUCACGGGGAUAUACUCCCUCUCGUGAACUUUUCUCCAUCUCUUCAUAUUCACAAAUAAGAGUCGUAUUUUGGAAAGUAAAGAUGGGAUAUUGUUUAGACAUGGAGUACUACCUUCCAGUAUUGGCCAUGGUGUUGACACAGUUUAUAUAUUCAGGCAUGAAUCUAAGUAUAUAUUCAGGCAUGGAGUCCAAGAGUAUUUAUAGUUUACCGUCAUGCUUUUGCAACCAUUCUUCUUGCUCCCAUUGCUUAUUUAUCUGGGUAUAUUUUACUAUCACCACCUUAUCUAUCCUUUCCUCUUAUCUAAAGUUUAUUAAGUAAUUUAUUGUUUCUAUUCCUUUUUUUCACAGGAGAAACUCUCGCUCUUAUUCCUUAAAUUUAACAAGUUUUUCCUGGAUUUUCAUGACCUCACUAAUUGGGUUUGUUUCCUUUUUCUUUUUCUUCUCAAUAUGAAUGGUGCUUAUCGUUAUGAUGUGAAAUUGAUAAAAAGUUGACUCUUUUAUGUUUAUUUUUGUUGGGAUAUUUUGCAGCAUUACUUUAUAUCAAAAUUUAUAUUUUGAGGGUCUAUAUCUAUCAUCUUCUUCAACUGCAACUGCCAUGAUCAAUCUUACUCCAGCAGUCACAUUUGUUAUAGCAACCUUUGUUGGGUAAUUAUAUACUAAUCUUACUAAACUCAACUUACUUUUGUUGAGUUUGAAUCAUUUUUAUUGAAUAUAUUACAGAAUGGAGAAAGUGAAUAUUCAAAGUUUGAGAACUAUAGCCAAAAUAGUUGGGACAAUGAUAUGUGUUACUGGAGCAGUGUCACUGUCCAUGACAUUAUUGAAGGGUCCAAAACUACUAAAUGCAGAUCAUAAGAUGCCUUCAAAAACAAUGAUGACCACAACCUUGGAAAGUGAUGAGAAUUGGUUGAUUGGUUGUCUCUUUCUGUUGGGAAGUAGUGUUGCCGGCUCAAUUUGGCUAAUUUUGCAGGUAUUUGAUUGUAACAAUAUAAGUAUCACUUUUAGUGGGUGAGGUUGAGGUUGAGGACCUACGUACGAUGAAACCAUGUGCUUUAUUUGAUUUAUUGGUUAAAAACCAACUUCACCAUGGUAAAAAACUUUAGGGUUAUGCGUCUCGUAGAGCACUAGUUAAGAAGAUAAAACUCGUCUUGGUCUCUCUUAUCAUGCAUAUAUAAUAUAUUGCCCCCGUACAUUCAUUUACAUUGGGAUCGUUGGCUAUCAUUUGUGCAUAUACGAGACGAUCAAAAAAUUUCUGCAGCAAAACAGCAUGCACCCCACCGAUCACACAUUAUACCUUCUUUCUUACCCUUUGGAAUAAAAAUAAUGACAAUUAAGUAUAUAAUCGAGUGUUUUUCUUUUAUACUUGGGCUAAAUGUCAAAACUGUAUAAGAAAAAACAGUCAUAACAUGAAGAAAAAUAAAUGUCAUUUUAUUGAGAGAAAAUGAAAUUAAUGUAUUAGAUAAAAACAAAUGCUACGAAAUACUUUAAAAUAUUUCCAAUUUUUUUUUGGUACAAGAGAAGGCAAAGCCCAAAAAAACCAAACUAAAAAGAUAAUCAAACAUUCAUAGGCAUGCAAGUCCCGGAUAAAUAAUCAAAAAGGAUUCUUUGGACCUUAUUAGGAGGAAACUCCAGCACUAAAAAAUCAAAGUGAUACGUAGAAAUGUUUAAAUUAGCGAGCCAAUUAGCACUCCUAUUUCCUUCGCGUCAAGUAUGGUUGAGUUGAACAUUCCAACUCAUCUUCAGUAGCUUCCGGAUCCGGUGAAAUAAAACAGGAAUAUUCCCAUUGAACUUGAAAUUAUCAGAAAUCAUAUCAAUCAAACUCUUUGAAUCACUUUCCACUAUAAGAUGAGAGUAAUGUUCCUUCCAAGCCAUGUCCAAAAUAUAGCCCCCACAUCUCAGCAUAUAAGACAUCACAAACUCCAAUCUUCUUAGUGUAGCCUUUGAUCCAUCUACCGUCUGAAUCACGAAAAAGGCCGCCACAUCCAGCAAUAACCCCCAUAUCCUUGCAAGCACCAUCACUAUUAAGCCUGAUCCAACCCUCUCGAGGCCGCUUCCAACCUAUAUAGAUGAUUGCCUUCAACUUUGGACCAAUAUGAAUAUGCUCCAAGUUACAGUCUUCAAUAUCUUGGACAUAUCUCCAAAUUAAAGAAAUUGGGUUGUUCGGCCUAAUAAAAUCAGCUUCAAAAAUAGUUUUAUUCCUCCACUUUUAUAAGUACCAACAAGUUGUCAUAAAAGUUGUCUUCCAACUUAAAGUGUUCGUUCCAACUUAAAAUAUUAUUUAAAUGUUGGAACUUCAAAAGUGUGUUCAAAAUGUGGGGGGAGCUACCUACAAAAAAUGAGUUGAAAAAUUGAAAAACAUUAGAUAAAAAUAACUAAUUACCAUCGUGGAUUUGUUCAGUGGAGUGAGGACACAGAGCUUGUUACUAAGGUUAUCAUUUAUCAAGGAGAUCGAUUGGGUGGAUUCGGUCUAGAGAUAGGUAAAUAAAACAAAACUGAACUCAUGAAAAUAGCUUAUGACCAUGCCAUAAGCCAUUUUCACAACGUCUCUAUACUAGUAUCUCAAACGUUUAUGUUAAUGCGAAAGUUUAAAUAAGUCAAUCUAAAUAAAUAUAUAUUAAUUGAGGGAAUCAAAAUAAAUAUAUAUUGUUAAAAAAGAAACACAAUUUGAUUUGAUAUAACCUUACCCUAUAAUUAUUCCCCAGGUUCCAGCUUACGCAAGCCAUCCUAAUUAUAUAUCAUUGUCAGCUUGGAUGUGUUUAAUUUCAACAUUACAAUCAUCAAUACUGACGUUAUUCUUGGAGCCAGACCUGAAUGCAUGGAAAAUUAAUUCUCUACUUCAAUUUGGGUGCACUUUAUAUGCAGUAUAUGUGGUUAAUUAUUUUUCAUGAUAAUACUUAUAUAUAAAUAAAUAAAUGAAUACAUUUUAAGUGGCCUAAUUUGUUGUAAUAAAUAAAUACAUUUUGCAGGGAAUUAUGGGGUCUGCAUUUGUAUUUUGUCUCCAAGCAUGGUGCAUUACAAAGAGAGGACCUCUCUUCUCUGCAAUGUUUAAUCCUCUCUUAACAGUGAUUGUGACUAUACUAGCUGCCUGCCUUGCUGCUUCAUGAGGAAAUAUACAUUGGAAGGUACUAAUAUUUAUGUUCUAAAAAUAAAUAUUAAUUUGAACAUUACAACUUGAAUUAUUAGUCUAACUAAAUGAUGUUUAUGAUUCAUGUGUUUUUAGCUUAAUAGGCGCAAUUGGAGUGAUCAUUGGCUUGUAUACUGUGCUUUGGGGUAAAGCUGAAGAUGUUAAAGAGAUGAUAAAUUCAAAAUUAGUGGUUAAUGAGACAACGGAAGUGACAUUUUCGACAAAUGAAUCUUGUGAAAAAUCAAGUUGUAAAAUUGAUUUGGAAGAACAUCUUUUAGCCGAUAAAUCUACAUCACGAUGUGGAUACAAAUGAAGAUGAAAAAAAUAAAAAAUUUGCAAAGGCGACAGUUAACUGCUGUUGGGGCAGAGGCAAUUAAAUACCGUGGAUAUCGAGUGGCAUUUAACUGCAUAUGGAGUUAAUCAUGAACAAUUUUAAAGAGGAGAAGAACAAUUUUCAGAGUUUUAUGUGGUUGAUUGUGAUGGAUCGGUUUGUGUGCUUGAUUUGUUGGUUUUUAUGUUUUCUUGUUUGCUCUUUUUAUAUUUUUUGUUGGGAUUUUAUCUAUUUUGUUGUUGUUGUUUUGUUUCACGUGCUCCUUGAUUUGCAUUUUAUAAAAUCCAAUAACAUAUAUUACUUUAAAAUAAUUAAAACGAAGAAUAAUAAAAUCUCCUUAAAGUAGUAGUCUCUAAACAGUUAAAGAUAAAGUAAAGUUAACUGUUUACCCCAACCUAAUAUCACCAAUCAAAGCAGGUGAAUUUCUAAAAUAAACAUAUUUUACGUGUGUAUUGACAUUAUGACCCAAAUAAUAAACUUUAAGCGUCACUUAAAGUGUCAAACACAAAACACGCAAGGUAAUUAAAAGAAUUAUCUUAAAGAUGCAACAUAUAUAAAUAGAACAAAGCACACAAGUAAUAACAUAAUCGUGAACAUUAGAACAUAGAAACACAUAUAUUUAAGGGUAAAUUACACUCACCUUCCUUAAGUUUUAGUCGUAUCUCAUUUACACCCCUUCUAUUCUUCAAAAAGCUUCCACCUCCCUUGAAUUCUAACAACGUUAAGCCAUCGUUAAAAGAAAUACUGUUCCUUUUUUUUUUUUUUUUUUGAAGAGCCUAAAAUGGAAUAUAUAUUACCCAAUCAAAAAGUUCUUCCUAGCACAAGGAGUACCAGAAAAAGAAAAAGAGUCAAAAACAUAUUUACAAAGAGAGGGAAACCAAAAAAAAAACAUAAACUAAAAUACACAGAAAAAAAUAACAUUAGCCUAGGCCCAACAUAAUGAACGGACUAAGUCACCAACCAUGAUAGUUGAAAGAGAGAUUAUGAAUUUUUGCUUUCAACCACAAAUAAGAAAGUGACUUAAUCUUGUCAACAAUCUGAUAAGUCGAACAUUCUUUGCCAUUGAAUAACCUGAUAUUUCCUUCUUUUCAUAUUUCCCACGCAGUAGCAUACCAAAUCAGAUGCAUAAUAGAUUGUCGCACCUUAGAACAAUUGCCACCAAUAAAACCAAACUGAUUGAGGUAAUCCGCAUGCACACUUGGGAACACCGAACAGACACCAAACCAACGAUGACUAAAGUGUCAGACUUCCCCAAAAAUAUGACAGUGUAAAAAUAAAUGAGGAGAAGAUUAUAAUGAACCACAACCACCAACGCACAAUCUAGCAUCAGAAGCUAUAACUCCACGACGAAACAAAUUAUCCUUAGUUGGCAACCUGCCACAGAACAGCCGUCAAGCGAAAAGAACGACCUUCAAAAGGAAUAUCCUUAUGCCAAAGAACCUUAGUAGAAACCGUAGUGACAAUUUUAUGAUGAUGAGCCAGGACUUUAUAAGCACUUCGAACAGUGAAAUCAUUGCUCGAUUCCAAGUUCCAAAGCCACAUGUCCUUCUUAUCAACCUAGAAAGUCACAUUUUGAAGUAAUAAACAGAAUUCCCCAUCACCUCCUCCUCCCACGCAAAUAGCCCCCGCCUCCACUUCCAAGCCUCAACCUUCUCCCCCCAACCUAAGUGAUACAUAUUAAACACAAAAACCUCCUUAAGCAGUGAUAGAUCAAACAAUUUUCUAAACCUCUCCCGAAACGCCACUCCACCAACCCACAAAUUUGACAAAAAAAUAGUUAACUUCCCAUUACCCACCACACGACUAACAUGAUCACUAAGCCACUCCUCCCUACGUAAGGUAGUGAUAUCUUGCCACCAAGAAGAGCAUCACGACCUACAUUUUAAAACUGACCACCCUCCACAAAACGGGCCGACAUCACCCUAAACCACAAACUAUCUCUAUCAACCAACAACCUCCAAUACAAUUUUCCUAAUAAUGCAUAAUUAAACUCCCUAAUUCUCCUUACCCCCAAACCACCAACCUCCUUACUCAAACAUACAGAUUUCCAGUCAACCCAUGAUAUUUUCCUGUGGUCCUCACUUCCAAUUUUUUUUUUUAAAUAAAUUCAAUAGAGGAGAUGAUACCUUCCGGAGCCUUAAAAAAAGAAAGAGCAUAAACAGGUAGAGAUGAUAUGACAGACUUCAGCAAAACCAGACGGCCAUCCAAAGAUAAAUGUUUUGACUUCCAAUCCGAUAGUCUCGACUUAAUGCGAUAAAUUAUAGGCUCCCAAAACGACAGACAUCUCGCUUUACCACCAAUAGGCAACCCCAAAUACACAAAGGUAAGAGAACCAACCCUGCAAUUUAAAAUUGUUCAUUAAUUAUACUCAUAUGUCCCUCAUCCUUUACUCUGCUUAUUCAUUGUGCCAUGGGUGAGUGUUCGUUGUGCCAACUCUCCUCAAUGACUAGACUUCCAGAAUAAUUCACUAUGCAACCAAACAACGAGGUCUCAACAACUUCAUUCAUGGCUUCAACUCAAUAAAGCUUGCUUCGUCAAAUUCUUAUAUUUCUUCUUUUCAAUGAGUUAAAAACAAUGGAAGAAUGUGUUAAUUCAAAAUUAUUAUAAUUUUUUAUUGGGUUUAAAUUAUGAUUUUUAAAAUACAAUGCGUAUGAUUUAACUGUUGCUUAUGACUUUUUUUAUCGGUGAGUAAAAUCUUGAGUCAUGGAGAAUGUGUGGUGUUGGUCAAAUUGAGACAAAAUUAUUGAAUUUGAAAUAGAUGAAUCUGGAAUCAAAGCAGUGGGAAGUUGAAAAUGAAAUCGUUGUGUUCAGAUGAGGGUUGUAUGGAAAGGGAAAAAAUGUACACAAGGAAGAGAAUCUGGAUAGCCUCAAAACUAAACUGACAGGUGUUGGUUAGAAGGGGUGAGAGAUGUCAUUUAUUGCAAAUACAAGGGAGGUUAAUGUUCAUUUUAUAAAUAGAGGGGGUAUAAGUGACAUAUGAAUAAACCUUAAGGGAGGUGAGUACAAUUUACCUUAUAUUUAAUAGGAGUGAUCAAAUCAUCAACUUCGUCCUUGAAUUUUCACGGGUCGGCCAAAUUCAUCCCUCAAUUAUGUGAAAUAACAAUUUAAUCCCUGAAUUUGUUAAAUGUCAAUCAAGUUAGUCCUUUUGUUCAAACGGAGUGUUAACGGGGCUGACAUCACCGUUAACCUCUCACAUGUCAUACGCCACAUAGGCAAGGACUAAUUUGGCCAAUAAAAACAAACAUUUCAAAGGACUAAACUGAUUGAUUUGCAGAAAAUGUCUUGGCUUUCUUCCCAAACAGCUCUUUUCUUCCCCAACAGCUCUUUCUUCCUCAAUUGUAUAAAAUUGUAACCCUAAUUACACAAUCUCCAAUCUACACUCCAAAAUCACCAAAAUUUCCUCCUGUAAUAAGUGGUCCAGUUCUUCCCCAAUUCAAAAAUCUUCAAACCCUAACUUUUUCGCAUUGAAUCUGAAAGUCAAAAUCCUCAAAAUUUUUGAAACAAAACUAUUGAAAUUGAAUCUGAAAUGAUGGGGUGUGGGAAUAUGGGAAGAAACAGUUAUGAAAGUCGAGCUUCAUCUUCAAGCUCCAAGUUUAAUGGUGAUGUGAGAAAAGAGGUUGAAGAUGAUUGAGGAAUGUAACAUUUCUGUAAUAAUAUUUCCAUCAAAUUAGUCCUUGAAUUAUUGUUCUAUCUAUCAAAUAGAUCCAUACGUUAUAUUAAAAACCAUCAAAUAAGUCCCUGAAUUGUUUAAUCAGAUAUCCAAUUGAUCCUUGAAGGAUAUGUGUUCAAAAUAAACUAAAAAAAGCCAAAACACAAAAAUUGAAACUGAAAUAUUACAUAGGCAAAAGUCAUAUGUCAUAAGUCAUAAAUCUGAGAAAUUACAUAGGCUAAAACAACCUAAUUAUGGGGCAUUAACAAGUCACAAGUCUUAAAUAAAGAUAAGCAAAAAGAAACCCAACUAUUAAGGGGUGAGAAUGGAGAAAGUUUUAGCGGGAAGGAGAAGGGUCAAUGACGUUCUUUAUGUUUCUGAGUGAACUGCGAAGAAGGAGGUAUGGGUAACGCAGGGGCAAAAUGGAAAAAGCAGAAGAAAAAAAUAAACUGAAGAGUGAAAACUGAACUUUUUCAAAUUCAAUCAAAUUAGUCCUUGAACACUGCUUCCUUCUUGCCACGUGUAUAAGAUAACACAACAUGCACGGCGACAAAUCAGCAUGGCUAACAGAGCACUUGGAUGGAGGGAUCUUUUUGAUGGACGUUUGACAAAUUCAAGGACUAAGUUGAUAUUUCGCAUAAUUGACGGAUGAAUUUGGCCGAUCUGUAAAAAUUCAAUGACGAAUUUGAUGGUUCACUCUAUUUAAUAGUGUUCACGCGGAGGUGAGUACAAUUAUUAAUGACACAAUGUUCAUUAUUUUUUUACUAAACACAAUAUUCUUGAUGAGUAUGCAACAUUAUGACAUGAUCACUUACCAAUUUUACUCUCAAGUAUUUGAUGAGGAGACACAUUAUAACACCCGUAGAUGAACGGAUACUUAAAUCUUAAAAGUGAGCAACCAAUUUCCAAAUGACUGCCGAUAUUAUUUUGGAUUAAAAACGUCUCCAACAAAAUGACAUAAAUCUAAUUUAUAUUUUUGAAAAGUUUACGUUUGCAAUAUAAAAAUACUAAUUAAUGACAAAUAAGAUAUCUUUGAUGACAGACCAAAGACUUUUAUCGGAUACAGCUCGUUGGAGUAACCUACCAAAGACUUUUAUUGCCCAGAAGUAGUUCUCAACUUAAAUUAAACAAGCUAAUAAGACUGGUUAUUUUUCCUUCAUAAAGGAGAUAAUUUUACUUGAGAUGGCUCAAACAUAAAAUAUAAGUAUCAUUUUUAAUUGAGUGUGUGUUUGGUUGAUUGGCAAGAGAAUAAUUAAUUUUGAUAUAAUUGAUUAUGAUUAAAAGUGAUUUUGAUUAAAAUAAUUUAUAUUUGGAUACAUUGACGUAAAAUUAAACUAUAAAUUUCUUUGUGAAAAUAAAUUCUAGAAUCAUAAACUACAAAUCUUAGUUUCAAAUAGAAUUAAUUCUAAAAACAAAAUCAAUUCUACUAGACAACAACCAAACAUAUUAGAAUCAAUUUUGCACUUCUAAAAUAAAUUUUGAUCCAUUGAAAAGUUGAACUAAACCUACACUGAGAUUCAAAUCUCAACUACCCAUAUUAUGAAAUUUAAUUGUACUCCCUGACCUUAAAUUAGGUGUCCUUUUUCCUAAUUUUUUUUAUCUUAAUUUUUUUAUCUCUUUAAAAUAUCAAUACAACAUUUACUAUUUUUUCUACUAAAAUAUCGUUAUAAAACCACUCAACUACAUAUAAUUAAUAAUAAUAUUUUAAUAAAUGAUACGUAUUUAACUAUUAAAAUCAACACUAUUAAUUAAUUUUUAAUAAUCAUUUUUAUAACUCAAAUAUGACAUCUAAUGGAAGCUCAAGGAGUAUUAGCUAGACCCAAUUUGGUCCGUAAUAUGACUCCUUUUCUUAAUUAGAUAUAAUAAUUGAUUAUGAAGAUCUACUGAUCUAUUAUAAAAGUAUGCAUAUACCAUGUGUGACAUUAAUUUUUGUCAGUUGUUGACUUCCAUCUUUCAUCACUUUGGUCGAUCUGUAUGAGUAAGUAGAAUGGUAUUUUUUAUACAAGAAUCACGUGGAACUAAACAAAACUAAUAUUAUUGAAAACUUUUACGGUACACUUCAUAAAUUGAGGUGUAUCGGUACUCUUAUUCCAUAAAAUUACAAAUUAACGACCAUUUUAUAAAAUAAAAAGUUAUUUGUCAAUGUUCAUAUUUUAGAAAACAUCAUUUCAUUGUUUAUAAAAAUCAUAUUAAAUUUUUAACAUUUUAUCAUAAAAAAUAAUCAAUAUUAUUUAUUAUGAGUAAUAAAAAUUCAAAAAAAAUAAAUUUUAUUUCGUCGAAGCUUUUGGUAAAUAAGAUUUGAUUAUUAUAAUUGUCAAUGUUAAAAAAUAAUUAUUUUUCAUAAGAAAAACAACUCAUUUAAUGAUUAAUUUACUGAUGUAGUGUACCGGUACACUCAAAUUUUUAAAUGUACCAUAUAAUUUGCCAUAUUAUUAUUAGUAAUAAAAAAUAUGACAAAUUCUAUGGUACACCCAAUAAAUUUGGGUGUAUCGGUACACUAACUCGUAAAAUUAAUAAUAAAUGAGUUUUUUUUUUUGAAGAAAAAUAAUUAUUUUCUAUCAUUGACAACUAAGAUAAUUAAAUUUUAUUUACUAAAAGCUUCGACGAAAUAAAAUUUAAUUUUUAAGAAUUUUUAUUACUCAUAACAAUGAAUAUUGAUUAUUUUUUAUGAUAAAAUGUAAAUUUUUUAAUAUGAUCCUUAUAAACAAUGAAAUGAUGAUUUUUCUUAUGAAAUGAUGUUUUUUUAAAAUAUAAAUAUUGACAAAUACCUUUUUAUUUCAUUAAAGUGAUCGUUAAUUUAUAUAUUUUGUGAAACAAGAAUACCGGUACACUCAAAAUUGUGAAUGUACCAUAGAAGUUCUCAAAAAAUAUAUGCAUGUUGGCAAGCGUUCCUAACAUUCCGUGUAGUGCAAGACAUUUCGUGGCAUAUCUCAAUUAUGAGAAGUACUUAUAUAGAUACAUAACCAGAUCUAAAAAAAAAAAAAAAGUACAAAAAAAGGGAUCAAAAGCUUGAAGGGAAGGAAAAAAAAGAAUCUGAACACAUAUUUUUAAGCAUAUAAGUUUCAUAAACAUCACAAAAGAUGAGUCUUUGAACCUCAUUGGAAAGAGGAGGACUCAAAACAACCAAAUUUCAAGAAUAAAAAAAAUAAAAAUAAAAAUCAAAGUUUACUAAUCAAUCAACACAUUUGUUCCCUUCACAUCAUUAAAAUGAGAAUCAAAAUAUAAUUACUUAUUAACAUAUCUAUUAUUUAAUUAUUUCAAAAAAAAAUAUAGUUCAAUUCUUUUCUCUUUUAUAUGGUUUUUCAAUUUAUGAAUGUGUGCUUAAAUGACUAAGUAAAUGUAUCUCCUCAAUUAUAUAUGCAAAAUCAUGUAACAUGACUUCCUCCCUAUCAUUUUAAAUAGGGAAAAUAGUAACAUGCUCCCUCCGAUAACAAAUACUAUAAGAAAAGAUUAUUUUUUAAGAUUUAUUGAAUAAUCAAUAUAAGUGCUUUGCAAUGUAUACUAGAUUUAUUAAUUAUUCAAUGAACCUAUUUUUUUUUAAUUUUUAUUUUUAUAGUAAUAUAGUUGGAGUAUGAGGAAUACUCAAUCCAUUACAAUGAAGGAAAAGAAGAAAAACGAAAAACCACCACAAACAAAUAAACAACCAAUAGUAAAACUAAAACAAAAUCCUGAAGAAAAAAAAAAUCACACAAUAUCAUGUUUUAUUCCUAUAACUUACACAUCCAAUUUUUCAAUUAACAAUUCUCAAUUUUAAAACCCUAAAGCAAGGAAAGAAGGAAAAAUUGAAAAAUCAAUUGAUUUUUUUUUUUUUUUUGGUAGAAAAAAAUCAAUUGAUUUACCUUAGAGUGAGUGAGAACUUGUUUAAUACAUACCUUUAAAAAUGAUCGAAAAUGAACUCUUACCUUUUUUAAUAAUAGAAAAUUGAUAACAGAUGUAAUAUUUUUUAGUUCUUACCUUUUAAGUGAAAUUUAAUAAUUUCCUUAUAAAAAAAAGUAAAAUUUAAUAAUUCUACCUUAAUUUGCACUAGACCUACCUUGGAUUAUUAGAAAAAUUUUAUGGUGAAGUCAUUAAAAUGACUUUUGUGGUGAAGUUAACACGAUAACAUCAAAAGUGUUGUGAGUAACACCCCACUGUUUGUACAGUGGCAUCAAAAAUUCAGUCCCCUUAGUAUCAUCAAUUCAUCAGAUUAACAAGAAUACACUUAAUCUAAUUUUAUCUUACAUUGUUUUAAGUGUAACACCCCACAAAGUGUAACACUCACAUAUAUCAGCAACUCUGUUUGCAUGUUAAAGAUGCCAAUGAUAAAAUAAUACCUGUAAGUCUAAGAUGUUGCAAGCAUUACUAGAUGAAUUACUAUUGAUCAUUAAUCAGUAAUCAACAAUUUAAAAAUGAAUCAAACAUUAAGAUUAAAAUUAACUUAUUCAAAAAAAUCAGUUUCAUGACUGCACCGUAGAAGCUUACAACAAAGAGUUAUUAAAAAGUAAAUAAUAACUUACUUUAAAAAAAGAGUAAAUAAUAUCUUAAUUCAAGUGUAUUAUAGAAUGAUAUCAUUAAGAUAUAAUAAUAUUUACAUAUAUUUAAAGUGACAAAAUAUAAGCAUUCUUCACUUAUACAUAUAUAAUAAGUUUCUCCCUGUCUUCACACAUAUAUAACAUAAGCAUCGAGUGUGUUUUUGAGGAAGAAAAGAUGAGGGGAGGAUUAAACAUGGAGUACUACCUGCCAAUAAUAGUUAUGUUGUUGAUACAGUUAAUAUUUGCAGGUCAGACUCUUGGCACAAGAAUGGCACUUUUGGAGGGUAUGAGUCCAAGGAUAUUUGUAGUAUACCGUAGUGCUUUUGCAACCAUUGUUCUUGCUCCCCUCGCUUAUUUAUCAGGGUAAUAUUACCACUUCUCUUUACUUUCUUCAUUACAUAAUCCUAUUCCUUAAAUUAUUGUUUUUUUCAUUAUUUUGACAGGAGAAACUCUGGCUCAUAUUCCUUGAAUUUAAGGAGUUUUUCCUUGAUUUUCAUGACCUCACUAAUUGGGUUUGUUUCCAUUCUCUCUCUAAGUAUUAAUCAUUUUAAAGUUUUAUAAGUAAUGAUCUCUCAAUUAUGCUCAUAUCAGAUAUUCAACUAUUUGAGCUGAUUUGAUUUGUUUCAAAGAAGAAAACUAUUUGGGCUGAUUUGGUUGCCAUAAUUGUGCUGAUAUUAAUGUAGACGCUCAAUAAUAUAUCUUUGACCUUUUUUUGUUUGACUAAAUAAAUUAUCUGACUAUUCUUUCAACAAUUUGACAAAGAAUAUAAAUUGUUUUUAAGAGGAAUAUGACAAAGAAUAGUUAAAAUUACAUUGGAUACAAGUUUAUAGUUAAAUAUUGUAAAAAAAAUAUCUGAUUUAUAAAAAGAGUAGAUGAAUUGGGAGUCUCGAUUUGCUUAAUUGGGAUUCCUCACUUAUGCUCAGUUUAUAGAGAGACACAGUAUCUUAAAGUUUUGAGUGACUAUGCGUAUGCUAUGCUGUGCUUAUAAACUCAUUUGGAAUCCCAACAUAUACUAAUGGAUAAAUAUGAAUAUGACAAAUAUUAAAGAAUACCUAUAAAUUCUAUAUGAUGAAAAGUAGAAAAAUGUUUACACUUAUAUAUAGAUAAAAUGGUGUGCAAGGUUCAAUAAUCAUUAUUUGAGAUUGAUUAGAAAUAUUUUCACACUCUUUUGUUGUUUCUGUUGGGAUAUAUUGCAGCAUUACAUUGAAUCAAAAUUUAUAUUUUGAGGGUCUAUAUCUUUCUUCUUCUUCAGUUGCAAGUGCCAUUUCCAAUCUUCUUCCGGCAGUCACAUUUGUAAUUGCAGCCUUAGUAGGGUAAUUACUAGUCAGCCUAUUUUGUUUACUCAAAAGGAGGUGUUUAUUUUAAUUGAAAUUGAAAUUGAUUAUAUUACAGAAUGGAAAAAGUGAAUAUUCGAAGUAUAAGAACUAUAGCCAAAAUAGUGGGGACAAUUAUAUGUGUAAGUGGAGCAGUGUCAAUUGCAUUGUUGAAGGGUCCAAAACUACUAAAUGCAGAUAAGAUACUUUCAAAAUCAAUCAUGGCCACAACCUUAUUAGGAAGUGAUGAGAAUUGGUUGCUUGGAUGUCUGUCUCUUCUCGGAUGCACUGUUGCUUGGGGAAUUUUUCUCAUUUUGCAGGUAUUUUAAUCGAUACUCUCACAUUAAAUAAUGUACGUGUUCUAUAAUAAAGACUAUAUAUAUCAUUAAUUAAAUAAAUCUAAAAUGUUAUAAUCGGCGGAUGGGGUAUGUAAAACUUAAAGGGUCUUGUCCGUGCCCCGGAGCACUAGUUAAUGUGCUAAAAGUAGAAAGAAAGGUACAAUUUUGCAUUAUUUAACUUUCAAAAAGUAGAAUAGACAAUUUUCAAAACAAUAUUUUAUUUUAUAAUUUUUUAACAAGUUUUCCGAGACACUCGUUAACUUUUUUCAAACUUAAAUGAAACACCUAACUUCAAAUAGAUGGAGUAAUAAAAGUUGUCUCCCCGCCCAUCAUUAAUAACGUUGGCACCACUAGGAGGUAGACAGAAAAAUGUCUAAUCGAAUUAAUUAUAUGUAUUUAUUGUUUCUUCAAUUUCAGAUACAAGCAAUGUUAUCUUGAGAAAUGCUAAUGUGUAAUCUCAAAGCAUUGUUGUUAGUACAACGAAAACACUCUAUUUAUCUUAAAUUAUACGACGUUUUGAUCAUUUCAUACGUAUUAAAAAAUAUAAUUAAUUUUUACCAGGUUCCAGCUUAUGCAAGUCAUCCCAAUUACUUAUCACUUUGUGCAUGGAUGUGUUUCAUGGCAACAUUACAAUCAGCAUUAGUCACACUAUUCUUAGAGCCAGACUUUAAUGGAUGGAAGAUUAAGUCUCUGCUUCAAUUUGGUAGCGCUUUAUAUGCUGUAUGUGGAUGAUUCAACAAUUUAUACUUCUAUAAAAAAAAUUAAUUAAUAUAUCAUAUAAUUUAAUACAUCACAAGUGACAUUUUGCAGGGAGUUAUGGGAUCUGCAGUAAUAUACUGUCUCCAAGCAUGGUGCAUUUCAAGGAGAGGACCUCUCUUCUCUGCUAUGUUUACUCCUGUUUUCACAAUUAUUUGUACUGUAUUGGCUGCCAUUUUGCUUCAUGAGGAAAUAUACAUUGGAAGGUAGUAAUAAUUAACUUGUGAUAUUAAAGAAGAUUCUUAACACAUAUUGAAUUUAAUCAAUUAUUAUUAAUCUAACUAAAUGAUUCUUCUACUUCAUGUGUGUUAGCUUGAUAGGUGCAAUUGGAGUGAUCAUUGGUUUGUAUAUUGUACUUUGGGGUAAAGCUGAAGAAGUAGUUGAUAUUAAAGAGAAUAUAGUUCCAAAAUCUAUGGAAGUGAAAAUUGAUUUGGAAGAACCUCUUUUACCAGAUGACUCUACUUAGAAUAAAUGAAUAUCAUAUCAUAUCAUAUUAUCAAAAGCAAAAUUGUAUCAGGGUUUUUUAACUUAUAUUUAUUUAAAAAAGGAAAAUUGUUUGUGGACCAACGUUCAUUCUUAUUAUAAUC